UAUGCAACUAAUGGAUUGUCAUGUUAAAAGGAAUACUCACUUUGCUUUAUAUUAGAUGAAGUUACAGAAGGAAGAUGGUCUUGGCAAACAAGAUGUAACAUAAGUCUUCUUAGAUGCCUUUGAAAUAAGAGUGUCUCCGCGUUAAUGGGAAUUGCAAUUACAUUAUCUGUUGGUAGGUUCAUCAUUGGGCUACCUAUUUAGAUUGGAAGGAUCGUUGUUCCAAUUUUUUAGGUAAGUGAGAAAGAAGUGUUGUUUCGGUUACACAAUUUGUAUGAUUUGUACAAUAUACUUCAAUCUAAGAUCAAGACUGUUUCAAGAAUGACAAUGAAGUUUAAACACCUUCAACACAAGUUCAAAAUGACUAAUCAAAAUGAACUAUCAAAGAAGUAUGUUUAUCUUAAAGAAAUAAGAUGAAGUAGAAGUAGAACCAAGUCCUCUAAUUUCACGGGGUGUCCUUAAGGAAUUAAUUCCCCUCAAGUACCCGAGGUUGUUGAAUUUUUCCUCCCAAGAUAAAAUGGCUCGCAAUCUGAAGGUAACAGUACCUCAACCUUUCAGAUUCCUCAAAUACACUCAACGACUGAUUAUCACAAAGAGUUUUUGAAAGAAGAAGAAUGUUUUUCAGCACUUAAAGUUAUGUCUAUACCCGAGGAGAAGUUCAGGUAUUUAUAGCAGUCAAGCGUUCCUUCGGAAAGGAAGCAAUGGUUCAUGGAAAGAUGUAUCAUUUUGGAACAGUCAUAUAUGUGCCUUCCAAAAUAGUAUGUCUUUUCUGAAUAGUCACCCCUUUUCUGAAAUAGUGAGUCAUUUUCUCGAAGGGUUGCAUCCCUUUUGAGGUGCGUUUCUACAUGCAUUUGCAUGGCGUACAUAGAGAAAAUAUUUUCAUUAGAUUUUUCGAUUACACUUGUUUUUUCAAGUUUUAAAUAAACUUUGUCUAAAAAAAUUAAUCUCUUGAUCAAUCAUUUUUCAAAUCCAAAUUUAAAUCCGAAUCUAAAUCCGAAUCCAAAGCCAAAUCCAAAUCCAAAUCCGAAGCUGAAGCGAGCUGAGCGAGUGAUGACAAUGAAGGCGUGAGGAAUCUCUUGGUUCUUGACUCACUAUCCACUUGAAGGUGUGUUUCUUAAUAAAAAUGCAAGAAAGUUACUUUCUCCCACCAAUGUCGGAGAAGUAGACUUUCUUUUAAGUGAGCAACUCCAUUUUAAGUGAGAACUCACUUUCCCUCCAAUAAUUCCCUCCAUUUUCCAUUCACACAUCAAACUUGAACCCAACAAUCCCCCACAUGAAUGGGGAAUGACUAUCUUAUUAAAAAUUUACGGACAAGUAUAUGAUCAACAAGCAAAGACUGAUUGCAUCUAGAUAAGUGAGUUUCCCUUUGAAUUUUCUCUAGUAAACAUGCAUCGAAUGCACUCGGUCAAUCAUUAGAUUUGAUAUCCUUGAACCGUUGAACUUUAAUGUACACCUAGAUAAUACAUGCCAUACAAUCAGUUUCUUACCAUUUAUGUUUCUCUCGAUUUUAUUCGUUUUAGCCAUGAACACAUUCUGAUUUCAUGAGAGCUUAGAGAAUAGGCCUUUACUAACAUUCUCUUUGAAGCGGCUUCCAGUUCACCCUCACAUAGGUGAUUUCUUAACGUUCAAUCCUAUAGAUUAUACUAUUUGGUCAAAUCUGCCAAAAUUAGAUAAUCAUUAAAAAACUUUACAUUAUAAGCCUUAUCCUUGUUUCUUAAACAUUGUCUACAUCAUGAGAAUGGAUUGGGUAUAUUAACAAUGUUGAACCUUUAUUCACAAAUUUGUUUGAUCUCCUUGAACCUAGAUCUUGGGAUCUCCUGUCUUUUAGGUAGAGUUAUUGCCAUGCUAACUUGUCCAAGGCCAUAAACCUAUUCCCUUCGAUGUUUUCUCAACUCCCUAUUUAGAUAGGACUUUUUUAAAUGGAUCCAAUAUAUUAUCCUAAUACUUCACAUAGUAAAUAGUGAUAAUUCCACUAGAGAGUAGUUCUUUAAUGGUUUUGUCUCCGUAUUAUAUGACAAGAUUUACUGUUAUACAUCAUGCUCCCUACCCUACCUAUUGCUGCUUGGCUAUCACAUUAUAUACCUACUGGUGCCAAUGGUUUGGGCCAAUAAGGGAAUAUCUUCCAAGACAUUCCAAAGCUAUUUAGCUUCAUCACCAUCUUUAUCUAAUGCAAUAAAUUCAGAUUCCAUUAUAGAGUGACCAAUGCAUGUCUGUUUAGAUGAUUUUCAAGAGACUGCUCCUCUACGUAAAGUAAAUACAUAUCCACUUGUGUAUUUUACUUCAUUCGAUCUGGUGAUCCAAUUUUCAUUACUAUAUCCUUCAAUAUAAUCUUGAGUAUAUCUAAGAUACCCCAAAACUCUUUUCAAUCCAAUGGAGUCUUAGCAAUAACAAAAUUCAAAUACUUGAACUUGUCAAGUACCUUUUCAAUGUAAUGAGACUAUGACAACGCCAACCCUUGUAGUGUUUUAAGGAUUCUUAUUCCUAAGAUCACAUCCGUAACUCCAAGGUAUUUCAUAUCAAACUUUCUCUCAAGCAUUUGUUUCAUAGCAUUUAUGUUAGGAAUGUCUCAAUUGAUGACCAACAUGUCAUCCACAUGCAAACAAAUAAUGACCUUGUGAUUUGGAGUGUCGUUAAUGUAAACGCAUUUAUCACAUUCAUUUAUUUUAAACCUGUUUACCAACAUAGUUUGGUCAAACUUUGCAUGCCACUAUUUAGGUGCUUGUUUUAUUUCAUAGAGUGACUUAACAAGUUUGCACACCUUCUUUUCUUUACUAGAAACCACAAAACCCUUAGGAUAUUUCAGGUAAAUUUCUUCCUCCAACUUUACAUUUAGGAAUCUUGUUUUCACAUCAAUUUGAUAGAUUUCAAGACCAUAUAUCUCCACCAAAGAAACUAACAUUCGAAUUGAUUAUCCUCAUUACAGGAAAGUAUGUAUCAAUAUAAUCAAGGUCUUCCUUUUGUUUGAAGCCUUUUACUACAAGUCUUGCCUAGAAUUUGUCAAUAGUACCAUCCAUUUUCAUUUUCCUUUUGAAGAUCCAUUUAGAACCUAAAGGUUUAUUUUCUAGAGGAAGAUCAACCAAAUCCCAAGUGUGGUUGCUCAAGAUUGAUUCAAUCUCACUAUUGACAACCUCUUUCCAAAAGAAUACGUCUGAAGAUGAAUUAUUUCUUUAAAUAUUUAAGGCUCAUUUUCUAAGGAAAAUGUUACAAAAUCUAAUCCAAACAAAGUUGAAAUUCUUUGACGUGUACUAUGUCUUGGAUUCUCAUUAUUAUGUACAUCCUCACUUGGUUCAUCUAGAGGUUAUUUAGACCCUCCACUAGAUUAUUCAUGUCUAGUUUUAUAUGAAUAAAUGUAUUCAAAAAAUUCAGCAUUAUCUAAUUUAAUUUCCAUAUUUUCAAUUAUAUCCGGAUUUUCAGAUUUAUGAACCAAAACCCUACAUUUUUACUAAUUUUAGAAUAUCCUAUGAACACACAGUCCAUUGUCUUAGAUCCUAUUUUCACCCUUUUAGGCAUAAAAACUUGGACUUUCGCUAGAUACCCCCACACUUUGAAAUAUUUCAAGUUGGGUUUCCUUUCUUUCCAUUUUUCAUAUGGAAUUGAUUGUGUCUUACUAUGGGACACUCUAUUGAGUAUUCGGUUAGCUUUAAGGAUUGCUUCUCCCAUAAGUUUGUGGUAAACCUAAAUUUAUUAGUAAGGCAUUCAUCAUUUCCUUUAAGGUUUGGUUUUGUCUUUCCGUAAUUCCAUUAGAUUGAGGUGAAUACGAGGCCACAGUUAAAUGGAUAAUUCCAUUCUCUAUUCGUAUUUCCACAAAGGAAGAUUCAUAUUCUCCACCCCUAUCACUUCUUAUCAUUUUGAUCCUUUUCUCUAACUAAUUUUCAACUUCUAUUUUAUAUUGCCUAAACACAUCUAUUGCUUCAUCCUUACUAUUUAGCAAAUAGACAUAACAAUAUCUAGUGCAAUCGUCAAUAGAAGUUAUAAAAUAGUUUUUCCCACCACUAGAUGGUGUUGAUAUCAUAUCACAAAUGUCAGUGUGGAUUAAGUCUAAGUAAUUAGAAUUUCUUUCAAUGGACUUAUACGGAUGCUUAGCAUACUUUGAUUUCACACACGUUUGACAUUUUGAUUUAUUGCACUCAAAAUUUGCAAAAGUUAAUCAAUUUUUGUAAUAUUUUGUAAUUGACAUAUCCUAAUCAUUCAUGCCAUAAAUCAUUAAACUCAAGCAAGUAAGAAUAAAAAGAACUUUUAUUGAUUUCAACAUUCGUUACAUUCAUCUUAAAUAGGCCGUCAGUGAGGUAGCCUUUUCCUACGUACACUUCUCCUUUACUAAGUAUAAUUUUUCCAAAAAUAAAUACAUACUUGAAUCCAUUUUUAUCAAGAGGUGAUACAGAAAUCAAGUUCUUCCUUAACUUCAGAACAUACAAGACAUUGUUGAGAGUCAACACUUGGCCUAAAGUCAUUGUCAAGCAUAUUUUUCCUGUCCCUUCAACUUUUGCAGUUGCGGAGUUUGCCAUGUAAAUCUUAUCUUCACCUUGAGUCAGAGCGAACACAGCAAAUAACUCUUUAUUUACACAAACAUAGUGGGUGGCACCAAAAUUCAUCCACCAUUCUCGAGAAUUUCUCACCAAGUUACAUUCAGACACCAUGGCACGCAGAUCAUCCAUUUCAUUCUUGAAUUCAGUCAUAUUUGCUUGGUCCUUCUUUUUGCCUUUCUUUGGGGCACGACAAUCUGUUGACUUGUGGUCAAUCUUGCCACAACUAAAGCAUUUGCCUUUGAAUUUCUUCUUAGGCUGAUUGCUUUGUUGUCUAGUUUUUUUCCACUUCUUUGAGUUGUUGGGGUCGUUUUCUACAAGGUUAGCUCCAUCCAUUGCAGAAUUUUCUUUAGACCUCCUCUCUGCAGAUUUAUUAUCUUUUUUAAUACACAACCUCACAAUGAGGUCUUCGACUGCCAUUUUUUUUAUGUUCCAAGCAAUUCUUGAAGUCCAUCCACAAAGGUGGCAACUUCUUAAUAAUUGCAGCAAUUUGAAAUGCCUCGUUCACAACCAAACCUACAAGAAAGUUUAUGUGAACAUUACAAAAAUUUUAGCUUUCUCAAAUAAGGUAUUCAUUAAAUUCAUACCUCUCGCAAAGAGAUCGUGGAUGAUGACUUGCAACUCCUGUAUUUGAGAAACGAUAGUCUUAUUGUUGAUCAUUUUGUACUUUAGGAAUCGUGCAACAUAGAACCUCUUGGUUCCCACAUCCUCAGUUUUAUAUUUCUUUUUUUGUGCAUUCCACAAUUCUUUAGAUGUCUUCAUUAUGCUAUAGACGUUGUAUAGGUCAUCUUGUAGGCCACUUAGAAUGUAAUUCCUACAUAGGAAAUCAAAAUGUUUCCACGCCUUUGUUACAAUAAAUCACUCCUAGUCCGAAGUUCCUUCAGGCACUUCUAGAGCAUCUUAUGAAAUAAACCUUUGAAGAAAUAAGGUAGUCAAAUAUAAGAACAUCUUUUGUUCCCAUCUUUUGAAAUCAACUCCAAAAAUUUUUUGGGCUUUCUGUUAAUGCCAUAAUGGGUGGCGCAUUUGUGCGACUGGUUGUAAUAACAUUAGUUGCUGGCACACUUGACACACCAUCAACAUGACCUUCUGUAAUCAAUUUUCCUAUCAAAAAUACAUAGUCAACAUUUAGUAUAAAGUUAUACUAAUCACAAGUUCAUAGCAACUUAUAAAUACCACUUGUUUCUAGUUUAACGAUGAAGUUUUUAUAUCUUCCAAUCAUUAACCAGGUGAGAUUUAACUUGUGAUGAAGAUUUUAUUUCUUUAAAUCACUUAUUAAGUUCAAAUGGAGUAGAAAGCUUAAGGCUUUAAUCUCCAGAAACCAAAAACAAUACAGAUUAUGUGUUAUUUCCUUAAGAUUGUUGUUUUAGGUACACAAAUCUGUAUGUUAGUUUUCUAAACUUCAACAUAAGUUCAAAACUUUUCAAGAACACUUAUGAAGUUUUUCAAUACCUUCAACACAAGAUAAAAAAUGUCCUAUCAAAGAAGUGUGUUGUUUUAUUAAGAAAAAGAUGAAACAGAAUAAGUCAAGUCUUUCGAAUCCACGAAGUGUCCUUAAAGAAAUAAUUCCUCUCAAGUACCCGAGGUUGCGAAAUUUUCCUCCCAGGAUAAAAUGGUUUCACAACCAUAAAGUAGUGGUACCACAAAAAUUCUAGUUUUCUUCGAACUCACUCAACGGGAGAUGAUCACACAGAGUAUUUUAGAAGCAAAGAAAAGUUUUUCCAAGUGCAAAAAAAAUUCGUACUAAACCUAUGUAAAAUGCAGGUUUAUAUAGCCAUGAAGCUCCCCUUCGGAAAAGAGGAAAUGUUUUAUUCGGAAGGUGUAUCCUUUGGAACAGUCUUGUUUGUCCAUUCGAAUCAUUGUAUUUUUUCUGAACAGUCACAACCAUCGAAAGGUGUAUCCUUUGGAACAGCCAGGUCUAUCCAUUCGAAUCAUUGUGUCUUUUUCUGAACAGUCACAACCAUCUAAACAAUCAUCCCUUUUUCCAAAAUAGUGUGUUAUUUCUCAAAGAGUUGUGUCACUUUGAAGCAACUUUCUACAUGCAGAAGCAUGCAUGCGUUAAUGGAGAGGAAAAACUGUUGCAUUUUUUCUUUUGGUUUUCGGACUUGAUUUUCAUAAUUUUUAAAUAAAUUUUUGUCCAAAAAAUUAAUCUCAUUAAUUUUCAAAUCCAAAGCCGAGUCGAGCAAGCGACGAUGAUGACGGCGCGAGGCACCUCUUGGUUCUUGCCUCACUAUCUAUGUGGAGUUUGUGUUUCUUAAUAAGAACACGUGAAAAUUCCUUUCUCCCACCAUUGUGGGAGAAUUAGUAGACUUUCCUUAUUGUGAGUACAUUUUCUAUUGAGGUAUGUUUUCACUUUCCCUCCACUACUUUCCUCCAUUUUUCAUUCACACUUCUAACUUGAACCCAACACAGAGAUCUUCUAUGUCCUUGUGCAAUAUAUUUUUCCAUUGUUAGAGAUCUUCUGUAUACUGUAAAUUGUCAAUCAUUAGUUUGUCAUUAUUAAAACAUAUCACGUUGAUAUGGAAAGCUAAAAAUGUUGACAAUUUUUUAAAACAUUUUUACAUGAUCAAUCAUUGGAAAAAUGAUUUAUCACAAUAUUUAUUUUUCCAUAGACAAUUUCCCUCUGUACCAAGCAAUUAAAAAUGAUUUUAUAUUGUCCUCUUCAUUUGAUUUGUAUUGUGAUUUUUAAUUUCAUAAAGUAGGAGAGGAAUUUCCAAGGUCCCAUGUAUUUCUGUGUUAGUAGGCUAUAUUACCUCCUCUUUGCUUCCAGUAAAUAAUCUAGAACUUGUUAUGUGAUUUUGGUACUACUAGUAAAGUUAUGUACUAUUGUUUGAUGCUUUUUUUGGUUUUUGACUGCAGUUAGCAAAAUCAGAGUGUGAAGAAAGAAAAUAAGAAAAAUAACUCAAGAUCAGAAGG
This 7433-nucleotide long non-coding RNA is filed under the name Capsicum annuum. RNAcentral's name for it is "long non-coding RNA (CANN_LNC016068)". Lineage: Eukaryota; Viridiplantae; Streptophyta; Magnoliopsida; Solanales; Solanaceae. The record is from RNAcentral.